Molecule: non-coding RNA, 27 nt
Filed under: Cricetulus griseus (Chinese hamster)
Lineage: Eukaryota; Metazoa; Chordata; Mammalia; Rodentia; Cricetidae
Source: RNAcentral
ACUUAGAUUCUGCAUGGGCAUGCGUGC